Molecule: ribosomal RNA, 253 nt
Filed under: uncultured bacterium
Lineage: Bacteria
Description: partial 16S ribosomal RNA
Rfam family: Bacterial small subunit ribosomal RNA
Source: RNAcentral
UACGUAGGGGGCUAGCGUUGUCCGGAAUCAUUGGGCGUAAAGAGCGUGUAGGCGGCCCGGUAAGUCCGCUGUGAAAGUCGGGGGCUCAACCCUCGAAUGCCGGUGGAUACUGUCGGGCUAGAGUGCGGAAGAGGCGAGUGGAAUUCCUGGUGUAGCGGUGAAAUGCGCAGAUACCAGGAGGAACACCGAUUGCGAAGGCAGCUCGCUGGGACGUCACUGACGCUGAGACGCGAAAGCGUGGGGAGCAAACAGG